This 239-nucleotide ribosomal RNA is filed under the name uncultured bacterium. RNAcentral's name for it is "partial 16S ribosomal RNA". It matches the Rfam family "Bacterial small subunit ribosomal RNA", at positions 15 to 244 of the family's 1533-position model. The record is from RNAcentral.
GAUCCUGGCUCAGGGUGAACGCUAGCUACAGGCUUAACACAUGCAAGUCGAGGGGGCAGCAUGGUCUUAGCUUGCUAAGACCGAUGGCGACCGGCGCACGGGUGAGUAACGCGUAUCCAACCUGCCUUACACUCUUGGACAGCCUUCUGAAAGGGAGAUUAAUACAAGAUGUUAUCAUGAGUAAGCAUUUUCGCAUGAUUAAAGGUUUACCGGUGUAAGAUGGGGAUGCGUUCCAUUAG